UUGCAGCAAUCAGGAUCUGGCCAUAGAU
Molecule: non-coding RNA, 28 nt
Filed under: Mus musculus (house mouse)
Lineage: Eukaryota; Metazoa; Chordata; Mammalia; Rodentia; Muridae
Source: RNAcentral